UAAAAGGUAACGGAGGUGCUCAAAGGUUCCCUCAGAAUGGUUGGAAAUCAUUCAUAGAGUGUAAAGGCAUAAGGGAGCUUGACUGCGAGACCUACAAGUCGAGCAGGGUCGAAAGACGGACUUAGUGAUCCGGUGGUUCCGCAUGGAAGGGCCAUCGCUCAACGGAUAAAAGCUACCCCGGGGAUAACAGGCUUAUCUCCCCCAAGAGUUCACAUCGACGGGGAGGUUUGGCACCUCGAUGUCGGCUCAUCGCAUCCUGGGGCUGUAGUCGGUCCCAAGGGUUGGGCUGUUCGCCCAUUAAAGCGGUACGCUAGCUGGGUUCAGAACGUCGUGAGACAGUUCGGUCCCUAUCCGUCGUGGGCGUAGGAAAUUUGAGAGGAGCUGUCCU
This 388-nucleotide ribosomal RNA is filed under the name Staphylococcus epidermidis. RNAcentral describes it as "bacterial LSU rRNA". It matches the Rfam family "Bacterial large subunit ribosomal RNA", at positions 2291 to 2678 of the family's 2925-position model. The record is from RNAcentral. Lineage: Bacteria; Bacillati; Bacillota; Bacilli; Caryophanales; Staphylococcaceae.